AUGGGCAAUGCUAGAAAUCACUUGGAAGUUACAGAGGAGUAUGCUCAUAUGGUCAAGGCUGGUAUCAUCGACCCUGUAAAAGUGAUCCAAAAUGCACUUCAAGGUGCAGAAAGUUAUGAUUUAUGUGGUGUGUUUGGUAUCUGCUCCGGCGAGCUCUCUGGCUGCCUCGGGAUAGGUGAACGGAAGGCGCCGAACAAGUACUACCCGCCGGACUUCUACCCGGCGAAGAUCCCGCGGCAGAAGCAGCCCAAUAACCAGCAGAUCCAGGUGAGCAUGAGGCUCCCCAUCAGCAUCCGGUGCGGCACCUGCGGGACCUACAUCUACAAGGGUACCAAGCUCAACUCGCGCAAGGAGGACUGCAUCGGCGAGACAUACUUGGGAAUACAGAUAUUUAGGUUUUAAUUCAGCUGUACUAGGUGCUCAACUGAGAUUACCUUUAAAACAGACCCCCAGAAUUCAGACUAUACGGUGGAAUCUGGGGCUAGUCGAAAUUCUGAGCCUUGGCGUAAAGACAUUGAGGUUGUGGACAAAGAGAAGAGAAAACGAAAAGUGGAGGAGAUGGGCGAUGCAAUGAGAUUACUGGAGAACAGAGCAAACGACUCAAAGCAGGACAUGGACGUAAUUGCUGCUUUAGAAGAGAUGCGGUCCAUGAAGUCGAGACAUGCAGGAGUAUCCGUUGACCAGAUGCUCGAAAUUUUGAAGCACUCUGCUCACCUUAAGAACUCAAAAGAUUAUGUGAAACAGAUCGAAGAUGAUGACGGCGAUGAUGAAGGUUUCGGUAUGCCAGACCAGUCAAAUGUCACGGCAAAGAUCAAUGGAUCGUCUGAAUCAGUGUUAAAUCCAACAGAUGUCUUGACCAAAACUAAUGGUCCUGAGAGUUCCAACAAAGAAGGAAACAAGUCCGUGGCAUCUAAGAUGCCCAUAUUCAUAGUAAAACCGAAGACCGUUGGCGCUAAUCCUCAGAAGAAACAGAAGAUGAAUCCGCAGCUGUCCAAGAUAACGGCAAAGCACCCGCCGCAGAGGAAAAAAGUGGAGCUUCAGAAGAGAAGACCAAUGUUCUUCAGUUCCUCUGCCAGUAUGAUAGCUUCAAAAGUGAUGACUGAAGACAACACGUCUUGGAGUCACAUCUGCGCCUGAGGAGACUAGCACCGCUGUAAGCACGAUGGUGCAACUCAGAAUGUAAUUGUCUACUUCAGCAAAGUCUCGCCUGCCCUUUCCAGGGAGUAAAUAAACUCUCUAAUGCAAACUGUAAGCUUAUACUGUUGCAAAUCUAUGGCAGCUAAUAAUAGUCCAGAUAUAUCCGUGUUAGAAAGAUUUUUUUAAUAAAAUCUACAAAUUCAGAGCAGUUGAAGAAUUAUAUCUGGGGAUCAUAUUACUGAUAUCUUGUAAAAGAACUGACAAAAAUUCAAGGGAAGCAACACUCAGAUUGUGGAUA
Molecule: RNA transcript, 1435 nt
Organism: Triticum aestivum (bread wheat)
Lineage: Eukaryota; Viridiplantae; Streptophyta; Magnoliopsida; Poales; Poaceae
Gene name: splicing factor YJU2-like
Exons: 10
Source: RefSeq, a predicted model, not a curated record